This 24-nucleotide non-coding RNA is filed under the name Arabidopsis thaliana (thale cress). Lineage: Eukaryota; Viridiplantae; Streptophyta; Magnoliopsida; Brassicales; Brassicaceae. The record is from RNAcentral.
GGUGUGAUUAACAUUGGAUGAGGA